Molecule: small nuclear RNA, 103 nt
Organism: Macrobrachium nipponense
Lineage: Eukaryota; Metazoa; Arthropoda; Malacostraca; Decapoda; Palaemonidae
Source: RefSeq, a predicted model, not a curated record
GCACUUGGUUCGGUAGUACCUAUUCUAAAUUGGAACAAUUCAGAGAAAAUUAGUAUGACCCCUGCACAAAGAUGGCACAUAUCAUGAAACGUUCCGCAAUUUU